AAGAUGAAGUUUUCGGAUGGAAUCUUGAUUGACUGAGUGGCGGACGGGUGAGUAACGCGUGGAUAACCUGCCUCACACUGGGGGAUAACAGUUAGAAAUGACUGCUAAUACCGCAUAAGCGCACAGUGCCGCAUGGCAGUGUGUGAAAAACUCCGGUGGUGUGAGAUGGAUCCGCGUCUGAUUAGCCAGUUGGCGGGGUAACGGCCCACCAAAGCGACGAUCAGUAGCCGACCUGAGAGGGUGACCGGCCACAUUGGGACUGAGACACGGCCCAAACUCCUACGGGAGGCAGCAGUGGGGAAUAUUGCACAAUGGGCGAAAGCCUGAUGCAGCGACGCCGCGUGAGUGAAGAAGUAUUUCGGUAUGUAAAGCUCUAUCAGCAGGGAAGAAAAUGACGGUACCUGACUAAGAAGCCCCGGCUAACUACGUGCCAGCAGCCGCGGUAAUACGUAGGGGGCAAGCGUUAUCCGGAUUUACUGGGUGUAAAGGGAGCGUAGACGGCGAAGCAAGUCUGAAGUGAAAACCCAGGGCUCAACCCUGGGACUGCUUUGGAAACUGUUUUGCUAGAGUGUCGGAGAGGUAAGUGGAAUUCCUAGUGUAGCGGUGAAAUGCGUAGAUAUUAGGAGGAACACCAGUGGCGAAGGCGGCUUACUGGACGAUAACUGACGUUGAGGCUCGAAAGCGUGGGGAGCAAACAGGAUUAGAUACCCUGGUAGUCCACGCCGUANACGAUGAAUGCUAGGUGUUGGGGGG
Molecule: ribosomal RNA, 753 nt
Filed under: uncultured bacterium
Lineage: Bacteria
Description: bacterial SSU rRNA
Rfam family: Bacterial small subunit ribosomal RNA
Source: RNAcentral